UACGUAGGGUGCGAGCGUUAAUCGGAAUUACUGGGCGUAAAGCGUGCGCAGGCGGUUUUGUAAGCCAGAUGUGAAAGCCCCGGGCUUAACCUGGGAAUGGCAUUUGGGACUGCAAGGCUGGAGUACGGCAGAGGGAGGUGGAAUUCCAGGUGUAGUAGUGAAAUGCGUAGAGAUCUGGAGGAACACCGAUGGCGAAGGCAGCCUCCUGGGCUAGUACUGACGCUCAUGCACGAAAGCGUGGGGAGCAAACAGG
Molecule: ribosomal RNA, 253 nt
Filed under: uncultured bacterium
Lineage: Bacteria
Description: partial 16S ribosomal RNA
Rfam family: Bacterial small subunit ribosomal RNA
Source: RNAcentral